CACGUAAGGAGCGAGCGUUGUUCGGAAUUAUUGGGCGUAAAGGGCGUGUAGGCGGUUACGUAAGACUGAUGUAAAAGGCACUGGCUCAACCAGUGAGUUGCGUUGGUAACUGCGUAGCUAGAGUUCAGAAGAGGGAAUUGGAAUUCCAGGUGUAGGGGUGAAAUCUGUAGAUAUCUGGAAGAACGCCAAAGACGAAGGUAAAUUCCUGGUCAUGGACUGACGCUGAGGCGCGAAAGCGUGGGGAGCAAACAGG
RNAcentral lists this ribosomal RNA (253 nucleotides) under uncultured bacterium. RNAcentral's name for it is "partial 16S ribosomal RNA". It matches the Rfam family "Bacterial small subunit ribosomal RNA", at positions 524 to 776 of the family's 1533-position model. The record is from RNAcentral.